AUUGAACGCUGGCGGCAUGCCUUACACAUGCAAGUCGAACGGCAGCACGGGAGCAAUCCUGGUGGCGAGUGGCGAACGGGUGAGUAAUACAUCGGAACGUGCCCAAUCGUGGGGGAUAACGCAGCGAAAGCUGUGCUAAUACCGCAUACGAUCUACGGAUGAAAGCAGGGGACCGCAAGGCCUUGCGCGAAUGGAGCGGCCGAUGGCAGAUUAGGUAGUUGGUGGGGUAAAGGCUCACCAAGCCAACGAUCUGUAGCUGGUCUGAGAGGACGACCAGCCACACUGGGACUGAGACACGGCCCAGACUCCUACGGGAGGCAGCAGUGGGGAAUCUUGGACAAUGGGCGCAAGCCUGAUCCAGCCAUGCCGCGUGCAGGAUGAAGGCCUUCGGGUUGUAAACUGCUUUUGUACGGAACGAAACGGCCUUUUCUAAUAAAGAGGGCUAAUGACGGUACCGUAAGAAUAAGCACCGGCUAACUACGUG
This 484-nucleotide ribosomal RNA is filed under the name uncultured bacterium. Its description in RNAcentral is "partial 16S ribosomal RNA". It matches the Rfam family "Bacterial small subunit ribosomal RNA", at positions 30 to 507 of the family's 1533-position model. The record is from RNAcentral.